GACGAACGCUGGCGGCGUGCUUAAUACAUGCAAGUCGAACGAACAGACGAGGUGCUUUUUGCUCGGAGGUUAUCGGCGGCCGGCUGAGUAACAACUGGAUAACCUACUUCUACGACUUUGUUGACUUCCGCAAACCGGUGCUACUACCAGGGGAUAUACUGAACCUCUUGGAUGAUUAGUGUAAGACGGUUUUUCUUUCACUUAUAGAUGGGCCCGCGGCCUAUCAGCUAGUUGGUGGGGUGAGGGCCUACCAAGGCAACGACGCGUAGCCGGCCUGAGAGGGUGGACGGUCACACGGGGACGGAGACACGGCCCAGACUCCUACGGGAGGCAGCAGGGGGGAAUAGUGCACAAUGGGCGCAAGCCUGAUGCAGCGACGCCGCGUGAGGGAUGGAGGCCUUCGGGUUGUGAACCUCUUUCGCCAGUGAAGCAGGACGGCCUCGUUUGUAGGUGGGUUGACGGUAGCUGGAUAAGAAGCGCCGGCUAACUACGUG
Molecule: ribosomal RNA, 494 nt
Filed under: uncultured bacterium
Lineage: Bacteria
Description: partial 16S ribosomal RNA
Rfam family: Bacterial small subunit ribosomal RNA
Source: RNAcentral